Molecule: transfer RNA, 80 nt
Filed under: Echinostoma caproni
Lineage: Eukaryota; Metazoa; Platyhelminthes; Trematoda; Plagiorchiida; Echinostomatidae
Rfam family: tRNA
About the family: Transfer RNA (tRNA) molecules are approximately 80 nucleotides in length. Their secondary structure includes four short double-helical elements and three loops (D, anti-codon, and T loops).
Source: Rfam by way of RNAcentral
GACCUCGUAGCUCAGCUGGUAGAGCGUGCNUACAAAACGGGGGCGGCAUCCUUCCGUGGGUUCGAAUCCCAUUGAGGCUA